Poecilia latipinna (sailfin molly) is the source of this 433-nucleotide long non-coding RNA. RefSeq lists it as uncharacterized. The transcript has 2 exons. The record is from RefSeq and is a predicted model, not a curated record. NCBI's taxonomy places the organism in Eukaryota, Metazoa, Chordata, Actinopteri, Cyprinodontiformes, Poeciliidae.
GGUCUGUUCCAAAGCAGUUAAACGUCUGUUGUGCAUUCUUCAAUCGUGUACCUCUGUUAAUUUGCAGACGUGUAAGCAUUCGACCAAACGCUGUAGCGAUCACGGUUUGUCAAGAGGGAACUGGCCAGGUGUGUUACAGAUUCCCAUUCAAAGGACUUUGCUGCAGGGAUAAAUCACGGAUUGUCUGGUAUGCUGACCAGACUGGCGAACUAACCAAUUAGCGGAUCCGGAAAUACCACACCACCUUCUAUCAAAGAAAACUAUUCCGAAUUGGUUGGAGACAUCCGGCCAUAAAUUGGAUUAUUUUUUUGUUCCUUUCAUCACCAGCAAGAACUGUUGAAUUCCUUGGAUUAAGGAACCAUUCUGGACUUCAUUAACUGUUGACUAACCUGUAUAUAUUGUAAAUAUUAAUACAAUUCACCAAUUUUGCACC